AGUGAACGCUGGCGGUAGGCCUAACACAUGCAAGUCGAACGGCAGCACAGUAAGAGCUUGCUCUUACGGGUGGCGAGUGGCGGACGGGUGAGGAAUACAUCGGAAUCUACUUUUUCGUGGGGGAUAACGUAGGGAAACUUACGCUAAUACCGCAUACGACCUACGGGUGAAAGCAGGGGAUCUUCGGACCUUGCGCGUUUGAAUGAGCCGAUGUCGGAUUAGCUAGUUUGCGGGGUAAAGGCCCACCCAGGCGACGACCCGUAGCUGGUAUGAGAGGAUGAUCAGCCACACUGGAACUGAGACACGGUCCAGACUCCUACGGGAGGCAGCAGUGGGGAAUAUUGGACAAUGGGCGCAAGCCUGAUCCAGCCAUACCGCGUGGGUGAAGAAGGCCUUCGGGUUGUAAAGCCCUUUUGUUGGGAAAGAAAAGCAGCAGGUUAAUAACCCGCUGUUCUGACGGUACCCAAAGAAUAAGCACCGGCUAACUUCGUG
This 492-nucleotide ribosomal RNA is filed under the name uncultured bacterium. Its description in RNAcentral is "partial 16S ribosomal RNA". It matches the Rfam family "Bacterial small subunit ribosomal RNA", at positions 29 to 507 of the family's 1533-position model. The record is from RNAcentral.